Molecule: long non-coding RNA, 1633 nt
Organism: Tympanuchus pallidicinctus (lesser prairie-chicken)
Lineage: Eukaryota; Metazoa; Chordata; Aves; Galliformes; Phasianidae
Exons: 8
Source: RefSeq, a predicted model, not a curated record
AAAAAGUCAUGAAGUUUCAAAGAACCUACUGAUGCCAUCUGAAAUCGAAGAACAAGUUGUUGCUGAGUUCAGAAGAUACUGAAUCCUAAAAUGGUGAAAGAAGAGACCUGAACAGGAGAGUCCAGCUUUCUCAGUUUUGCCAAAGAUAUCUCAGAUUAAAGCAUUGAUAUUGCAUGCGUCUCUUGGGCAUGAAAGGCUACAAAUCCUCUGGCUGACCCACAGCUCACACAUGUUGAUAAUUAAAGCAUCAUUGAUUUGAUGCACCUGGCUGAACUCUCGAGUGGAACACAGAAAGUGGAAAGUUACUCUGCAUGGUAUUUUACUUCAAAAGAGAAGUUGCAAAAAUGGGAUAAAUUUCAAAGACAAACAUUUGAGAAAUUACGGAGACCCUGAGCAAAGAGUUAACAACCAUUCCACUGGAAGAUGCUGCACAGUAAUCACUUUGUGUUGCACCAGCUCAGUUGGAUUGUCCUGCUCAGCUCUUCAGGAAUUUUUGGAAGGAUUUUUUUUGGUUUCUGAAACUCAUCUAAAGAAUUGCUUCAAACCACAACACAGUGGGGAUCUCAUGAACUUCAAGCCCAGUGAGAUGAUAAAUGCUUCCAGGAGUUGAUGUCGCUAACCACUGGCCUUAAUCUUGAUCAUUUCUCACUUAUGCCACAGAAAGGAAUUUCCUGAGCUGUGCCUGUUUGGCUACCUCUGGGGAACGGCUGCGAGUUGGGGUUGUGACAGGAGUCAGCAGAGCUCUCCAUGAGCAAUGAGUGAACAGGAAGUUCAGCUCCUUGGAAAGACAUAUUUUAAGGGGAAUCUCAUUAAAAAGACUCUGAACAUACAAACAAAGUGGUAAUGUAUUCUUAAUGAGGCAAGGUGAUGUCUUGCUGUGCAAAUGUGCAAAGACCUGUAAAACUGCAGUUCUCCUUCCACUCAUUAAAGACAGUUGUAAGCGUUUGUCAAUGCGUCACUGUCCUGUUUAGUGGUGAGACUGGUGAGCUGCAUGGAAAGACACCUCUGCCAAUAAAAAGGUCAGUAUUACUGUUUUAAGAAAUUGUAUUAUUUCACUGUUUGAACUGUUACAGUUUCAUUGUGAUACGCUUCCAUGAUCAUCUUUGAAUUAUAGCUUUUGCUUCCUCAGUACUUCCGCUGGCUGCCAUUUUGAAUGGAGGUGAUCACUAGCAGCAAGGAAGCUGGAAUAUCUGGGGCUUUACCAUGUUGAGAAUAGUUUAUUGUAGUUUGAAAGGUGUUUGUUACAUGCUUCUUUUCAUAAGAAACCUUUAUUCUCAACUUCAGGAUGCUUUGAGAAUACAGGAUCAUUUGCCUGGCAGGUUUUAUUUUUUUUGAUCCUUGUUUUGGAGGAAAGUAUGGAAAGGAUUGAAAAAGAACAAGAAAGGUUCUUUACAGCAUAACAUGACUGUAUUCUUAGAAAAACAAACCCAAAAUGAAAGUUGAAAGCAUAUCUGAGAUGUAGCUUCCGACAUACAGAAAUAUCACCAAAAAAUGACAGGAAAAAAGCUCCCUCAGUAUCAGAAUAUAUUGUAAUUUUUAUCCAAACGCAUCUGAAUUUUUUGGUUCCACUUAACGUAAAGCAUAUUGGAUAACUUGGGACAUUUGAGUUUUUGAUGGUGUCAUUCAAACUAAA